RNAcentral lists this long non-coding RNA (213 nucleotides) under Hordeum vulgare. RNAcentral describes it as "long non-coding RNA (HVUL_LNC011606)". Lineage: Eukaryota; Viridiplantae; Streptophyta; Magnoliopsida; Poales; Poaceae. The record is from RNAcentral.
UUUUCUUUUCUUCGAUUGCUUCUCUUCUAUUCCUUUCUUCUUCUCCUCUUUUUAUUUCUACAUUUGUCUUCUUAUUUUUUAUCGGGUAUGUCGUUGUCGAUAUACCCCCUCCCGAUCGAACUUCAACACGAGGGGGGGGUACCGAUAUACCCCCUCCCCAAUAACAUUAUUUUCCCAUGUAUAUGUAUGUCGCGUUGUUAUCGAUAUAACCCC